AUGCUACCCCUCCCCCUGCGCCGCCACCUCCUCUUCAUGUACUCUCGCCGGAACCCUAGCUUCAUCCCCUUCUCCAUUGCCGCCACCGCCAUCUCCACCCUCCCAACCGACUCCGCCGCCGCCGCCGCCGCCACUCCCAUCUCCGACCGCCUCCGCCUCCUCCACUCGCUCCANNNNNNNNNNNNNNNNNNNNNNNNNNNNNNNNNNNNNNNNNNNNNNNNNNNNNNNNNNAUCGCGGCUCACCUCCUCGCCCGCGCCCGCCUCUUCCCCCAUUCCCGCAGCCUCCUCUCCCGCCUCCUCGCCCCCGGUCACCGGCCCCACCUCGCCGCCUCCCUCGUCGACCUCCUCCAUCGCGCGGCUCCCGCACUAGGGCCUCGCCGCAGCGCCCUGCCCUCCGUCGUCGACACCCUCCUCUCCCUCCUCGCCGACCGCGGCUUCCUCGACGACGCCGUUCUCGCCCUUGGCCGCGUGCGCGAGCUGCGGGUGCCCCCUAACACCCGCACCUGCAACCACAUCCUCCUCCGCCUAGCGCGAGAGCGCCGCGGCCCGCUCGUCCGGCGGCUAUUUGAGCAGGUGCCCGCCCCCAACGUGUUCACGUUCAACAUCGUGAUCGAUUUCCUGUGCAAGGAGGGGGAGUUAGCGGAGGCAAGAGCAUUGUUCUCGAGGAUGAAGGCAAUAGGUUGCCUACCAGAUGUUGUCACAUACAAUUCUCUCAUUGAUGGGUGUGGCAAAUGCGGGGAGUUGGAAGAGGUGGAGCAGCUCGUCGGGGAGAUGAGGGGGUGUGGAUGCACACCAGAUGUUGUGACAUAUAAUGCAUUAGUCAACUGCUUUUGCAAGUUUGGGAGGAUGGAAAGGGCAUACAGCUACUUUGCUGAGAUGAAGAGGGAAGGAGUGAUGGCUAAUAUAAGGACUUAUAGCACCUUUGUCGAUGCGUUCUGCAAGAAGGGGAUGGUAAGGGAGGCUAUGAAGCUGUUUGCACAAAUGAGGAUCAAGGGGAUGACACCGAAUGAGGUGACAUAUACAUGUUUGGUUGAUGGGACCUUUAAGGCCGGUAGGCUAGAUGAUGCCUUUGUUUUGAUUGAUGAAAUGGUACAGCAAGGUGUGCCAUUGAAUGUGGUCACAUAUACUGUGCAAGUUGAUGGCCUUUGCAAAGAGGGGAAGAUUGCCGAAGCGGAGGAUGUUUUUAGGCUGAUGGAGAAAGCUGGCGUCAAAGCCAAUGAGUUGUUGUACACUACACUAAUUCAUGGGCAUUUUAUGAAUAAAAAUAAAGUAAAAGAGUCAGAGGCCAUUGCCCUGCUCCACAAGAUGCAGGACUCUGGGUUCCAACUUAAUGUUGUGACAUAUUGUGCAUUGGUUGAUGGUUUGUGCAAAGCAGGAUCAGUUGACGAGGCAGUCUCACAUUUUAACAAAAUGAGAGACUUAGGAUUAGAGCCUAAUGUACAUACUUACACCGCUUUAAUUGAUGGUUUAUGCAAGAAUGGGUGCUUAACCAAGGCUGUGGCGUUGUUGGAUGAAAUGGCUGGCAAGGGUUUGUCUCUGGAUAAAGUUGUGUACACAUCUCUUAUGGAUGGGUACCUGAAGCAGGGAAAUCUUCAGGAUGCCUUUGCACUCAAGGCCGAGAUGAUCAAUAGUGGUUUGCAACUUGAUCUCUAUGGGUACACUUGUUUUGUAUGGGGAUUUUGUAAUUUAAAUAUGAUGCAAGAAGCUAGAGAAGUUCUUUCAGAAAUGAUUGGAAAUGGUAUUACUCCUGAUACGCAGAAAUUGGGGCAUAUUGAGGAGGCAGCCAGUCUUCAGAAUGAAAUGGAAAGUGUGUUACCCUCUUGUACAAUUGGUGAUGCUGCUCCUGGUUCUGAUGGUUAA
This 1860-nucleotide ribosomal RNA is filed under the name Triticum aestivum (bread wheat). RNAcentral describes it as "partial small subunit ribosomal RNA". The record is from RNAcentral. Lineage: Eukaryota; Viridiplantae; Streptophyta; Magnoliopsida; Poales; Poaceae.